CCCAGACCUGAAGUCCCGAACUAACUCCCGAGUCCCGAGUCCCGACUCCACUCAUCGACUAUGGACUCUCACUCAGUCACUCUCUCCCACUCCUCUCCUCCGCUCGCCGCCUCCUGUUGCCGACUCCACUAGUCCACUCAUCGACUACGGAUCUAUGGCCUAUUCGAAGUUUCGAACUGGUCAACUGGAGAAUCUUCUCUCCCAGUCUCACUCUCUCCCACUUCCUCCUCCUCUCGCCGCCUGUGGCUCAGCCGGUUCUCCUUUCUCCACUUCUCUUAGAGAGUCAGAGAUCAACUGAUGAACUGAUCAAGUUCAAUUUUGUUUAAUUUUGUUGUAUUGGAUAUUUGGAUUGAAGCUUUCGUGGAUUGAAGAAUGAUUGAAUGAAGGUUGCAGACUGGAAAUCAAGUAGGCUGUAGGCAUCUGAGUUAGAUUUGUGAUUCGUCUUCGGUUUCAAUUUCUUGGAAUUUGAGUUAGAUUUGUGGGCUGAUUCGGUGACUUGAAGAUUUGCACCUUUUCUACUUCAAGAUUCGCUGCUUUCUUGGGGUUUCUUUGUUUUAAUUUCUUGUUCAUGUGUGCAUCUAUGUUCAAAGAAAGCUCAUCUUUUUCUCAUCUUAAAGAAGAAAACCCAGAAGGAAGUAUCCAACUUCAUUAG
RNAcentral lists this long non-coding RNA (652 nucleotides) under Rosa chinensis. RNAcentral describes it as "sRNA RchiOBHm_Chr2g0110891". The record is from RNAcentral. Lineage: Eukaryota; Viridiplantae; Streptophyta; Magnoliopsida; Rosales; Rosaceae.